AUGAUGGACUAUAGGACAGGACUGCUGCUGUUAACUGUCUGCUGGGCAGGUGUUGAUGGUCAGACUCUGACAGAAUCUGAACCAGUGGUUAAAAGGCCUGGAGAAUCUCACAGAUUGACCUGUACAGCCUCUGGAUUCACAUUCAGUGACUACGCUAUGGCCUGGAUCAGACAGGCUCCUGGAAAAGGACUGGAGUGGGUUGCUUCCAUUCUGAGUGAUGAUAUAGCUUCUAUACUUACUGACAUUUCUCCGACUGAUUACUCCCAGUCAGUCAAGGGUAGAUUCACCAUCUCCAGAGAUGACUCCAGCAGUAAAGUCUACCUACAGAUGAACAGUCUGAAGACUGAGGACACAGCAGUGUAUUACUGUGCCAGAGACACACAGUGAGAGUCAAUAACAGGAGAGUCAUACAAAAACUACUUCCUCUAUCUUGCACCACUGGAAACAUUCACUUGUCUCAGUUUAAAUUAUUCUACAUGACAGUCAUGAGUUGCGACUGAAAAAUAAAUGUUAACUUUAUA
Acanthopagrus latus (yellowfin seabream) is the source of this 521-nucleotide non-coding RNA. The record is from the annotation of a RefSeq genome assembly. Lineage: Eukaryota; Metazoa; Chordata; Actinopteri; Spariformes; Sparidae.